This 59-nucleotide transfer RNA is filed under the name Hyalella neveulemairei. Its description in RNAcentral is "tRNA-Ala". It matches the Rfam family "tRNA". From Rfam's summary of the family: Transfer RNA (tRNA) molecules are approximately 80 nucleotides in length. The record is from RNAcentral. Lineage: Eukaryota; Metazoa; Arthropoda; Malacostraca; Amphipoda; Hyalellidae.
AAGACAAUAGUUUAAAAGAACAUUUGACUUGCACUCAAAAAGUAUUUUUAUUUGUCUUG